Molecule: non-coding RNA, 646 nt
Organism: Paramisgurnus dabryanus
Lineage: Eukaryota; Metazoa; Chordata; Actinopteri; Cypriniformes; Cobitidae
Source: RefSeq, a predicted model, not a curated record
CCACUCCUGGAUAAACUGCUUUUCAUUACACCCGACACCACACAGGUUACCAGAACAGAAGAGCAAGUGGGCCACCACCACAAUCAUCUGUCAUCUGCUCAGGAGACCUUUUAAGACCACAGUAAUCCAUUUCCAUCAUAAUUCACCAUCACACAGUGCCUGUAGUAUAACACCGACUAAAGGUCCACCGUAAAGAGAGGACGGCCGUUCAGUUCUGUUUAAAGAUGUAAUGGACCCUAGCGCAAAAAAUGGACCCGGGACGCCAUCAAUUUAGGCAUGAAGUGGCAGGGACAUUUCCCAUAAUUUGCAGGAGAAGAUGUGAAGUUUUCUUUGAAGUCUGUGUGUUGGGUUUCGUUAUGUCUCGCUGUAUCUUUGCUCUCAGGUAGACCUCUACAAAGCAGAAAUCAUGUGGCGUCGCGCACACACGUCGUCAUCCUGCUGUCUGUCUGCACACCACACAUAUCACACGACUGCACGUCAAUACAUUUCUGAAUGUUCAGACAACAAAUCAGAGUAACUCUCUUAAUACAACUGAUAGCUGUAGUCUUGCACUUGGAUCUGUCACUUACACAGUAACAGCUAUGAUGUGAAGCACAUAUUCACCAGAUAUCACUGUACACCAACUGUUAACAUCCGUUCACACAUC